AAGUGUUUGUCUUUGUCGACUCCUUGCCGUCUGUACGCGUCUGCUGUCAACUGUGGCUGUUCUGUCAAUAAUUAAUCAAUAAUAAUCUUUGAUUCAAUACAAAUUACAAAUUGUAUUGUAAUAAAAUCGAAUUACUUUUCGAAUUUCGUCUUUCGUCGACCAAUUUAGAACGUAGUGAUUGAAUAAAUACGAAGUAUCCUUCUGUGUGAUAAAAACUAUCUCUAACCGUUUGCGACUUUGUGAUUUUAAACCGUUUAUUCUUUGGAUCAACAAAUCGCUUUAGUAGCAAAAUUGUAGAUAGUUUGGAAUCACAAUGUAUACCUUAAAAACUGAUGAUGCCGCUCAAUAUGCGAAGCCCUAUUGUGCCUGUUGGAGUGAUACGAAACCAAUGGAAGGUUCACCGGCAGAUCUCUGUGAUUGUGGGGAGGAUGACGACCUCAUUGAAUGGAAAUGGGAGCCGCCUGUGCGAGAAACUGAGAGGUGGUGCCAGCUGAGCCUGGACCGGAGCAAGAUCACCUUCCACCCCAUCUUCAGCUCGGGCACGGCGGCCGCGCGCAGCGACGCGCCGCUGCUCAUCGACCACCACUACUACUGGGAAGUAAAGAUGCUCACAAGAUGCUAUGGCACUGAUAUUAUGGUGGGAGUGGGCACGAAGAAAGUGAGCACGACAGACACGGAGUUCAAGUUCGUGUCUCUUCUGGGCCAAGACGGCGAGUCGUACGGGCUGUCGUACAAGGGCAAGGUGCGCCACGACGGGAAGUUCACGCCCGUGCCCGCCGGCUUCUGCAGCGGCAGCAUCGUGGGCGUGCGCGUCGACCUGUGGCACGGCACGCUCGCCUUCUACAUCAACAGGAAGCCGCAAGGCGUGUCGUUCUACAACCUGCGGCGGCACCCGGAGCUGUACGCUAUGCUGAGCAGCACGGCGGCGCAGUCGUCCAUGCGGCUCAUCUACGCCGCCUCGUGGCGCGCCUCGCUGCUGGUGGACGCCGCCAAGGUGCUGGCCGCGUCCUGGCGCGAGGGCAUGGAGCUGCCGCCCGGCCUGCGCAAGGCUCUCAGCUCGCAGUUCUGGCUCGGGCUGCCCGCCGACGUUGGUAGCGAUGACGAGGAUGAUGAUGAAAUAGAACCAGUCAAACCUAUGAAUGCCGAUACUUCGAAUUUGAAGCUGUCAUCCGGUAUGAAGAGGCGACAUUGCCACCGACUGACAAGUCCGUAGCAAUCCAGUCGCCAACGUCGGCCCUGUCUGGCCAACAAUUGAAUUUAAAUGUCCCAAUAUUAAAAGAACUGCCAUUAUGCAAUAAUUGUACAAUAUGAUCUCGGGGGGCAUGAAUGUAAUGCAGGAACAACAUUUGGCAUUUGCCGAAAAUUCUAAACCUCUACAAACGUUUGGCUUGAUUUUGGGAAACAAACAUCGUAAUCUUACCAAUGCGUUUGUGUAUUCUGAAGAACACGUGGCGCGGUGGAUUUAUUAAACGGAGGUCCUGGGUUCGAUCCCCGGCGGGGCAUAUUGAGAUUUUCUUAAUUAGUCCAGGUCUGGCUGGUGGGAGGCUUCGGCCGUGGCUAGUUACCACCCUACCGGCAAAGACGUACCGCCAAGCGAUUUAGCGUUUCGGUACGAUGCCGUGUAGAAACCGAAAGGAGUGUGGAUUUUCAUCCUCCUCCUAACAAGUUAGCCCGCUACCAUCUUAGACUGCAUCAUCACUUACUACAGGUGAGAUUGUAGUCAAGGGCUAACUCGUAAAGAAUAAAAAAAAAAAAAAACAAUCACACUUAUAUUAUAAAGUUUGUGUGUAAGUGUGUAUGUGUGUUCCUCCUUUGCGCUGCGGCUACUGAAGCCAUUUGGCUGAAAUUUGGAGUGGAAAUAGAUUUACUCUGGAUUAACACAUAGGCUAUAACUAGUACUACUAGUACUAGUAGUAGUAUGAAACGACAAUUUUUAACAAGUGUAAGAAAACGAAAAGACUGCUUCAUAGAUAUAUACUUAAUAGUUAAUAUUUUAUCUUCACUUGACUACUUUUUCACAUAAAACUAAUGGUACUUUGUUUGCUGUGGCGCAGAACGACAAACUCCUUUGAUAAGUGACUAAAGAUUGUUGAUACUGCCGUGUAAAUCUGGUAAACCAAGAGGAAGAAGAUACAAGUCCGACACUCGACAAGCGUUUUCAAACAGAGUCAAUCCACAUGGUUGAAAUUGUGAUGGACUUUCGUUUGUUGAGGAUUGGCAAGCGUGGGGGAUCCGGCUUGAAUUUCUGUUGUCUUGUUGUCCUAUAAGGUUAAGGGAUUCUGACGUCACAAUUUUCAUUAAAACCAAACACGUUGCCGUUGUACGUUUUACGUUGAAUUAUUGAAAAGUUAAGUCCAGAAAUUCGCGUAUUCCUUCCUAUCUUCCUAUAUUUCCUAUAUAAUUUAAAAAUUGUGCAAUUUUCUCUUAUAGUGCUUGCAAACAGUCAAUGUCGCUUUAUCCUAUGUCGCUUUAUCCUAUGUCGAUAUAUAUGUUUAUUUAACGUUAAGGUGCAUGCAUGCAGUCAAUGUCGCUAUAUCCGUUGUCAUUAUAUGUUGUCUUGAGCACACAGUCAAUGUCGCUUAAUCCGAUAUAGUUAUAAGAUGUCUUGAGCGUUUCUAUUGAGAUUAACGUUAGGGUGCCACACACACAGUCAAUGUUGCUUAAUCCGAUGUCGUUACUUGAUUGAGUGUUUAUUAUGUUGACAUAGUGCGGUGCCCGCACACAAUCAAUGUCGCUUUGUCCGAUGUCGUUAUAUGUUGUCUUGAGUGUUUAUAUUGAGAUUAACGUUAGGGUGCCCGGAUAUAGUCAAUAAAUGUGUUUAUAGUACUGUAGAGUUAGAGAUUCAGUCGUAAUAACCGAUCCGUCGUUGUGGACGCUGUUUUUUCCCGUUUUAAUGUAAGUCUGUUUAAAAUUUGAUCUUUUAAAUGUCAAGUGUAAUCAAUAUGAAAUAAAAAUGUAUUAAGUUUAGCUUGAUCAGAAAAAUAAAAAACCUCGGCUUUCGGAUAGUAGGAACGAAUUUCUUUUACUAGCAUUCUAUACACAGACUGCUAAAGAGCUAAAGAGCUAAAGAGGCGCCGUGAUCUAGGUUUUUUAAUUUUCUGGUCUGGGUUUAAACUACAAUUAAUGUAAAAGUUUUGAAUGUUUAGAUGUCAGUUAUUUUUCUUCAUACGAAUAAUAUUGAACAGAAUUUGAUGUUUAAACGUCGCCUUGCGUCGUAUCUAGGAUCAUCUAGGUGUUCUAGUUGUUACAUCUCUAUAUAACUUUAUGAUAAUGUCUGUCUGCUAAUCUUCACAACAACAGAUUUUCUUUAAUCUUUACAUAUAGGUAGAAUAAGCUCAAUAUUUGUAUAGAUUUACUUUGUUUACUAGUGAUUUAGGAAAUAAAAAAUAAAUUUACGCGGAGGGGCGUUCAUUGAUUUAAAAAAAAAACAAUUUUUCUUUGUAUGUUUCCUAUUUAUGCAUUCCUAAACUGAUCGUGAUAUAGUUUUGGUAAAUUGAUAGGUGCAAGUAUUGUGUGUCCAAUUUAAGGUAGUGCGGGCAGGUGUCAAUUUGACGUAACUUUGAGUUUGACAAAGCAUAUAUUGAUUUGUAUAUACUAAUUAACAAUGCUCCGGCCCUAGUAUUAAGUAUGGAUUCAGAUCCGUAUAAUGUUUUGAAAUGGAAAUGCCCACCGGCCAAUACAACAUUUGCGUCGUAUAAAAGUAUAUCGAGAUGAUAAUAUGAUUUUUGUUAUAGUUUGUAAUUUUGUUUGUAUUAUUCUAAUGUAUGUAUAGCCUGGGAAGACGAAUUGGGCAACUGUAAUGUCUUCCCGGGUAUUGAUUAAGUAAAUAAAUAAACAAAUAAAUAAUAAAUAAAAUAAAUAAAUGAUGUAUAAAUAAGGAACUGGUAAUUAAUUGGCUCAAUAAAUGUAUGUUUCUUGAAAACAAAAACAUUUUUAGCACUCUUCUUGUUUAAACAGUUCGCCGUUUUACUUACUAAAGCGGCGAAGUAACAUUUGAAGCUGUAUUUUUUUUUCUGUAACCAAUAAGCUUAAGAAACAAGAAAACGAACAAACAAACCAACCAUAACUUCAAACGAUCUUUACUUGUCUAUUAAAGAUGAAUUAAAAAUGUCCUGAAACGUUGUAGCAAACUUUUUUCUGAUAUUAUUAGUAAAAUAGAAUUAUCUAGAUUUUUUUUAAAUACAAGUAGUUAGCCGGUUGGUUAGGGUAAGCCAGGGCCGGGGAUAGGUAUUUCCAUUUGAUACAGAAGUAAUUUUAUUAUCACAUUUUGUUCUUUAUGUAUCAUUUAUAAGUAUGUAUGUGGUAGCAUGAUGCCAUUAAUAAUAUUAUGUUGAAUUAUUAAUUCGUUAUACUUGAUAAGUGUAAUCUAUUAUGAAAUGUGAGAUUAAAAUUGUUAUAAAUGUCUGUGAUAUAAGCUAUUGUUUUUCUUUAAUUUUUCAUCUUUUACAUAGUUAAAAAGGAAGAUAUAUAUAUUUUUUAUUGUAAAAAUAUAAAAAUUAUGGUUCUAGCUGUUGUAAUCUACCGACUAAAUCCGGAAUCUAGGAGUGUACACUAAACUUUACACAGUGAUAAGAAAUAUAAUCCUUUCCUAACAAGCCUAAGUGAAACGUAAACACAUUUUAAAAUAGUUUCCGAUACGUUAUGAGAUUAGUCAGUUCAAACAAACAUUUUCUCCAGGUUCAUCUAUAUCAUAAAUAUUAUUUUACUUAUGAAGUUUAAAUACGUAAUAGGUUUAAAUAGAUUUAGGCUUUUAUUUAUGAUUUUUUUAAAUAUCUAACGGUAUCUAAGUAUAUAAAUAUUUUUGAAUAAAAUGGUUAACUUCCCUUUAUGUAUAUCUCAAAGUACAGCUUGAUCAGAAAAUAAAAGAACCGCGAUAUGUUGCAAUAUGUUGCAAUCACAGAACAAAGAAUGAUACAGAAUGACUAUACAAGCAGCGUCAACAAACGUCACGCGUUUCCUUGACAUCCGCAUAUAUAGAAACUUUUUACAUAAUUUGUAUUUCAAAAUUUAACACUAACAACAAAUUACGUAAAUUAAUAUCGUGAUAGACUAAUAAUAAUAAUCAAUAAAAAUUACUCCAUCUUAUUUCUUUAGUUUUUGUGAACAGUUUUUAAAAUAUUAAAAAACAUAAGACGCUAUUUUAUUUGAUUAAUAUUGAAAAUUACUGGUGCUACGCUUCGUGUCGAGACUCGAGAAUGCAUUCAUUUUUGAAUUUGUAUUUAGAAUUGCCGCAUCCCUGCCGUGUUCCGUACGCUCUAUCUGCCUAUUAUUCUUUAAUCUGUGGUUGCAAUAAAGAAACUAUAGUGAUGCACCAGACAAGGAACUUUAUAUUUCUGGUCAGGCUUUAAUUGAUGAAAUAUACAACAGUAUGGAAUUACUUAUUUUUAUGGAUUUAGUAUAAGUGGAUCGGUGUGCAUUUAAAUAAUUACAUGUAUCUAUUUAAUUUUUUUUA
Molecule: RNA transcript, 5452 nt
Organism: Bicyclus anynana (squinting bush brown)
Lineage: Eukaryota; Metazoa; Arthropoda; Insecta; Lepidoptera; Nymphalidae
Gene name: SPRY domain-containing SOCS box protein 3
Exons: 8
Source: RefSeq, a predicted model, not a curated record